AAGCAUGAAGCAAUUAAUGCACCUAGUUUCGACCUAGGAAAAAGAAUAAAAUCCUUGCUUU
This 61-nucleotide transfer RNA is filed under the name Melittomma sp. MEL01. RNAcentral's name for it is "tRNA-Arg". RNAcentral also lists the same sequence under 1 other name. Lineage: Eukaryota; Metazoa; Arthropoda; Insecta; Coleoptera; Lymexylidae. The record is from RNAcentral.